CCAUCUCUCUGAUUCUCUGGGCCUCCCAUGGUCACAGUCUCCCUUUCUUCCCACAGAGCACUUGUCCUGGGGUCCCCUGGUACCCUGUGGAGAUCGUGGUGGAGGAUGUGGGAUGACAAAGAGGAGAGGCAAUGGGCCAGAGUGUCUCAAGGCACUCUGAGGAGAGACAGAGGUGGAACAGGACAGACCCACGGACCCUGAGAGGAGACAGACAUGCAGACUUCCAGACCUUCAGGGAGAAAGACUUCCUCCCACCUCGGGGACGAAUAUACUGACACACCACUCCCAGGGACAGAGACAUGGACCACAGACACCUAGACCCUCAAAGAAGGCAAACAGAUUCCCAGAGGGACAGGCUCCCUCCAACCACACCGGAAAGAGAAGCAAAUAAACCUUCAGAGGGGACACGUGGGUCCUCAGAGAGACGGAUGAACAGAGCGCGUGUCCCCUCCACGCAGGGAUAGAAGCAGACCCUGGAGAGAGUGACCAUGAGCUUCCAAAGGGGGGGCAGACAGACUGUCCACAGGGACAGACCCACAGGAAGACUCUCCCAACCCCCUCAACAGGGACAGAUAAAUAAAACAUCAGAGAGGACCAGCACGCAGACACCGAGGGGGACGGACACCAAAUCCUCAAGGGAAUUGACACAGAGCCCCUCUGCACCUCCAGGUUCAGUAGAGCCUCUUCCAUAAGCGGAUAGAUACUCAGACUCCCUGUCCCCAGCGGUUCAGGCCAUACAAAGCCACCUCUGCCCCUCUAGCUGAAUCCCAUCCCCUACUGUGUCCCUUUCUCUGUCAGCCACCACUCCGUGGCCCACCCCCAAGCUCUAGACCCACAGAAUCCAGGUCUGGUGAGCUCUGAGCUGCCACUGCUGGGUCUCCAGGCCCUCAUCUCCAGGGAGCCAGGGGAAGGGACAGACUCACCCAGUGAGCGGGGCUGAACCGAUUCAUGACCACCGCAGGGCCAAAAGAGCGGGCUGGGUUCAUGGAGCAGCCAGUGAAGUAGAUCUGGAUAGAGACAGGGCGGUGGAGAGAAAGGCAACAUCCUGGUCCACUCCCACAGAAUCUGGACUCUCUCAAGGUUACACUGCAGUCCAGGGGCUCAGCCAGGUCUCAAACUCAGGCUGGCAACCUCUCCCUCCAAGGAUCCCAGCUGCUUGGUUAACCAUGGACCCUUAACUACGCCCUCCUCUCUUCUCUGCUCUGAGGUUGGGUUUGAUUCCUGUCCCAUCCCACCUCCUACUUACUCCCAUCUUUCCUCAGCCCAGAGGUUUUGGGGGGAUCAAUUCUGGGGCCCAGUAGGGCCAGAGUCCAGGAGCCCUAAAUCCAGGCCUUAAACUCUGCUGGAC
Molecule: long non-coding RNA, 1348 nt
Filed under: Homo sapiens (human)
Lineage: Eukaryota; Metazoa; Chordata; Mammalia; Primates; Hominidae
Description: LHRI_LNC1951.1
Source: RNAcentral